RNAcentral lists this ribosomal RNA (253 nucleotides) under uncultured bacterium. RNAcentral's name for it is "partial 16S ribosomal RNA". It matches the Rfam family "Archaeal small subunit ribosomal RNA", at positions 474 to 727 of the family's 1478-position model. The record is from RNAcentral.
UACCAGCACCCCGAGUGGUCGGGACGUUUAUUGGGCCUAAAGCAUCCGUAGCCGGUUCUACGAGUCUUCCGUUAAAUCCACCUGCUUAACAGAUGGGCUGCGGAAGAUACUAUAGAGCUAGGAGGCGGGAGAGGCAAGCGGUACUCGAUGGGUAGGGGUAAAAUCCGUUGAUCCAUUGAAGACCACCAGUGGCGAAGGCGGCUUGCCAGAACGCGCUCGACGGUGAGGGAUGAAAGCUGGGGGAGCAAACCGG